GAUGAACGCUAGCGGCAGGCUUAACACAUGCAAGUCGAGGAGAGCUUCGGGUUCGACCGGCGUACGGGUGCGUAACGGCGUAUACAAUCUUGCCUUUCACAUAGGGAUAGCCCGAAGAAAUUUGGAUUAAUACCUAAUAGUAUAUAGAUGUGGCAUCACCUUUAUAUUAAAGCUGAGGCGGUGAAAGAUGAGUAUGCGUUCUAUUAGCUAGUUGGAGAGGUAACGGCUCCCCAAGGCGACGAUAGAUAGGGGUUCUGAGAGGGAUAUCCCCCACACUGGUACUGAGAUACGGACCAGACUCCUACGGGAGGCAGCAGUGAGGAAUAUUGGACAAUGGUCGGAAGACUGAUCCAGCCAUGCCGCGUGCAGGAAGACGGCCUUAUGGGUUGUAAACUGCUUUUGCAGGGGAAGAAUAAGGACUACGCGUAGUUUGAUGACGGUACUCUGCGAAUAAGC
Molecule: ribosomal RNA, 456 nt
Filed under: Capnocytophaga sp. oral taxon 329
Lineage: Bacteria; Pseudomonadati; Bacteroidota; Flavobacteriia; Flavobacteriales; Flavobacteriaceae
Description: bacterial SSU rRNA
Rfam family: Bacterial small subunit ribosomal RNA
Source: RNAcentral